Stegostoma tigrinum is the source of this 1242-nucleotide long non-coding RNA. RefSeq lists it as uncharacterized. The record is from RefSeq and is a predicted model, not a curated record. Lineage: Eukaryota; Metazoa; Chordata; Chondrichthyes; Orectolobiformes; Stegostomatidae. The transcript has 4 exons.
UGGGAGAAUUUGGCACAAUCGUCACGACUGCCAGCUUUGAGUAACAACUUUACCUUGAUCAGCAGCUGGAAAGCAGAGCCGGAGAGGGCAGAGGGAGGAGACAGUGACUAGAACAGUGCUAACAGUGACCAGAGAACCUUCACCAGGAAUAAGCCAUCAAGGCAGAUCCUCAACACUACCACCAUCUCUGAGGAGGAAGCCACUGAAAGGCCUAUAAGCUCAAGCUCAGGGACUUACACCUUGAUGAGUUCUCAGUGAUCACAUCACUGGCACAUUGCUGGUCAAGGAAAGAAGACCCAGGUUGUUGACACAGACAAGAUUGACAUAAACAAAGCAACUGCUAAGACCCCAGUCCAAAGAUUUUGAGAAUGAAGCAAUCCCCAUCUACUAGCAAGGCAGUCAAUUGUCCUGCAGGCAGCAUAAUGAAGUGUUAAGAUCAAAACCAUAUUAACCCACUGUAUUGGAGGAGGUGCAGGACUCGUGCAGCAUGACUGUCUCCAGCUCGAGGUGGCUGACAUGGGAGCUGCGGUGACGGUGGUGGUAGAGAAGGAACACAUUGCCAGGACCGCGGAGAUAAUGUGGGACGAUGGAGGGACAGAAAGGGUGAAGUCUACAGAAAUGGAAAGAUGAACUAGUGAAGCUAUUCCAGUACUAUCAAUUUAAUACUAGUUUAUUCAGUAUUUACGACUUUCCAACUUACUCAGGAAUUUAUUCUGUAAUCCAAAAUGGCAUUGGAGCAUGGCAGAGUUAUACACUUUUGUAUAAGUGACAAUAUUAAAUAAACCUAAAUCUCUAUGUAAACAAUUACCUGUAACACCAAGUAAUGUUCUAAAAUAUCUUGGUCAUAUUUUUCUUUAAAACCUGUUAUGUUCAUCAGCUGACUGAGCACUGUUAUGGGAAAUGUACAGUAUUAUUGUUUAAGAAACAGGUCAUCAGCAUUUUACUCUUCCAAAAGGCAUACUUCUCAGACUCUAUGCAACUAUCCUUUAUAGUUCUUCCAUUCAGAAAUCGUCAGCUUUUUAUUUGGCAUUACCCAUUGAUAAUGACUAUUUUGUUCCGAUCUGGCCAAACGAAAACCAACAGAUGCAUUUGAUAACUAAACUGUUGCCCUCUAAAUAAUUUUCUAAAUUCAUUUAUAUCUGAAUUGAUAUUUGUAGAUGAUUAAAGAGUAAUUGUCCUAUGUGAAUUAUUUUGAUCUUCAGAUAAAUAUGACAGUAAUGUUUAAACAUAUUGACUUUCAAA